CGCACAUUGCGCCCUUUGGCAUUCCGAAGGGCAUGCCCGUUCGAGCGUCAUUUCACCAAUCAAGCCCAGCUUGGUAUUGGGUCCCCGGGGGCGACCCGGACCUCAAUGUCUUUCGGCUGGAACACCUCACACUCAGCGUUGUGAAUCAAAUUCGCUCCGUGGAAGGGUGGUCCAUCGCCGUUAAACACCUCAAUUUAUCACAGGUUGACCUCGGAUCGGGUAGGGAUACCCGCUGAACUUAA
RNAcentral lists this unclassified non-coding RNA (242 nucleotides) under Devriesia sp. RNAcentral describes it as "partial contains 5.8S ribosomal RNA, internal transcribed spacer 2, and large subunit ribosomal RNA". Lineage: Eukaryota; Fungi; Ascomycota; Dothideomycetes; Mycosphaerellales; Teratosphaeriaceae. The record is from RNAcentral.